GACGAACGCUGGCGGCGUGCUUAACACAUGCAAGUCGAACGGGCCUGUCUUCUUUUUUGGGGGUGGGUUGAGUGGCGAACGGGUGAGUAUCACGUGAGUAACCUGCCCUUCGGUCCUGGAUAACCGCUUGAAAGGGCGGCUAAUACGGGGUGGUCCGGUUGGUCCGCAUGGGCUGGUCGGGAUAGAUUCACUGUUUUUGGUGUUUCGGCGGGGGAUGGGCUCGCGGCCUAUCAGCUUGUUGGUGGGGUGAUGGCCUACCAAGGCGGUGACGGGUAGCCGGCCUGGGAGGGUGGGCGGCCACACUGGGACUGAGAUACGGCCCAGACUCCUGCGGGAGGCAGCAGUGGGGGGUAUUGCACAAGGGGCGGAAGCCUGAUGCAGCGACGUCGCGUGAGGGAUGGAGGCCUUCGGGUUGUGAACCUCUGUUUCCGGUGGUGAAGGCCCUGUCCGUGUGGUGGGGUUGACGGUAGCCGGGGAUGAAGCGCCGGCUAACUACGUG
RNAcentral lists this ribosomal RNA (499 nucleotides) under uncultured bacterium. RNAcentral's name for it is "partial 16S ribosomal RNA". It matches the Rfam family "Bacterial small subunit ribosomal RNA", at positions 28 to 507 of the family's 1533-position model. The record is from RNAcentral.